CUUAAAGAUGCUUAUCAUCUGGAAAAACUAAUGACAAAAGGAAAUAACAUGUCAGGUAUUGGGUAUAGUUCUAAAUAUUAGAGUUAAGGCCCCAGGGGAAUCAAGCUGAAUAAACGCUCACACCACUAGCCUUUUCACCUGGUCAGUCAUGUUUCCUACAAUGGAUUAGAGGUUUUAUUUUUUAUUUAUUUGUUUAUUUAUUCAUGAGAGACACAGAGGGAGGCAGAGACAUAGAGGGAGAAGCAGGCUUCGUGCGGGGAACCUGAUGUGGGACUCCAUCCCAGGACCCCAGGAUCAUGCCCUGAGCCGAGGGGAGAUGCUCAACCACUGAGUCACCCAGGUGCCCCCAAUUAGAGGUUUUAAAAACUCAUCACCUAAGAGCAAGGCCUAAAUACCUUGUGGUUUGGAGUCAAGGUUUAGAAAACAAUGAAAGAUGAAAUGCUUGGAAAUGUGGUAAUUGUCUGGGAAAACCAGCCUGGCACUUAUUAUUCAGCAAAUGCACCCCACGAAGCCUCCUGCAGUUGCAUCCCAACUCCUACACCCACUCCUACACCCACACCCACACCCACACGUGAACACAUGAGUCCCAUUUUACACAAGUACUGCUUCGUUUGCAUCGUUUUGUAGUGUCCCCUUCUUAAAUAAAAAAAUUGAUAAUAAAAUGUGCCUAACUUUUAACUCAACACAGUCAGCCGCGACAUAACAGGGCCAAACCCUGACCAAAUGCAUGUGCUUCGUGCUCCACCUGGGGCCGCAAACCCAGGUUCUCUGGAUUGGAAGAAGAAACGCGCCUCAGAGCAGAAGCAGGUUGCAGCUGGUGGCCGUGCUGAUGACCCCAGUGCCUUCCCCCAGUCCAUCCAUGCAGGGAACGCCCGGAAGGGACACUGAGGCAAUCAGGGACCAGCCAGCCAGUCGAGAAGAGAAGUCACCUGCAAGUACCAGCAACUGCUGCUGGUAUGUCAGGGGGACAUGGGCACCCUGAAAAGCAGAGCGUGUACCAAGUCUUGAAUGAGGGAAGGAAAAUUGGUUCCUAAAGAAGAGCUCAAGGUCAGUAGGGGUGAAAUACUCUAUU
This 1072-nucleotide long non-coding RNA is filed under the name Canis lupus familiaris (dog). RNAcentral describes it as "lncRNA (ENSCAFG00000051304.1)". The record is from RNAcentral. Lineage: Eukaryota; Metazoa; Chordata; Mammalia; Carnivora; Canidae.